CAAUUUUUUGAAAUCUACCAGUCAAGAAAUAGGGCGUCUUCUCUCAGCAGCAUUGAUGCACAGCUGCUUGCAACUCUGCGGCAUUAGUGUAAUGGUGUUCUCUCCGCUUGGG
Long non-coding RNA from Thalassophryne amazonica, 112 nucleotides. RefSeq lists it as uncharacterized. NCBI's taxonomy places the organism in Eukaryota, Metazoa, Chordata, Actinopteri, Batrachoidiformes, Batrachoididae. The transcript has 3 exons. The record is from RefSeq and is a predicted model, not a curated record.